Molecule: long non-coding RNA, 268 nt
Organism: Hemiscyllium ocellatum (epaulette shark)
Lineage: Eukaryota; Metazoa; Chordata; Chondrichthyes; Orectolobiformes; Hemiscylliidae
Exons: 3
Source: RefSeq, a predicted model, not a curated record
UGGACAUUCAGAUGGUAAUCUCAGUAAUUGUAACGCCAAACUGUGACAAAAUUACUCAAUUCAUCAGGAGCUGGAUAUUCACAUUGUGUGGAUCUGCACUGGAACCCUUCUGUUUGCGGGACAAAUAUAUAUAAGUGACAUGAAUUAAAAUCUAAUUUGAUUUGAUGAAGAUGUGUUGAAAAUGUUUGCAGUUACUGAUCUGCUGAACGAAAAUGACCACUUUUAAACUGAUGAUUGGACUAGAAACCUUUGAGAAAACUUGAAAAUA